AUUGAACGCUGGCGGCAUGCUUUACACAUGCAAGUCGAACGGUAACAGGCCGCAAGGUGCUGACGAGUGGCGAACGGGUGAGUAAUGCAUCGGAACGUGCCCAGUCGUGGGGGAUAACUACUCGAAAGAGUAGCUAAUACCGCAUACGAUCUAUGGAUGAAAGCGGGGGACCGUAAGGCCUCGCGCGAUUGGAGCGGCCGAUGUCAGAUUAGGUAGUUGGUGGGGUAAAGGCUCACCAAGCCAACGAUCUGUAGCUGGUCUGAGAGGACGACCAGCCACACUGGGACUGAGACACGGCCCAGACUCCUACGGGAGGCAGCAGUGGGGAAUUUUGGACAAUGGGCGCAAGCCUGAUCCAGCAAUGCCGCGUGCAGGAAGAAGGCCUUCGGGUUGUAAACUGCUUUUGUACGGAACGAAACGGCUCUGGUUAAUACCCGGGGCUGAUGACGGUACCGUAAGAAUAAGCACCGGCUAACUACGUG
RNAcentral lists this ribosomal RNA (482 nucleotides) under uncultured bacterium. RNAcentral's name for it is "partial 16S ribosomal RNA". It matches the Rfam family "Bacterial small subunit ribosomal RNA", at positions 30 to 507 of the family's 1533-position model. The record is from RNAcentral.